AAAGGGCAUCAGAGCAUCCCCAAGGGGGGAGGUGACUCCUCAAGGGGAGGAGGUGGCAGUGUCCCCAAGGGAGAGGUGACAGCAGGUGACAGGAGGUGACAGUGUCCCUGUCCCCUCCCCCGUCCAGGUGUGCUGUACAACCAGUUCCUGUCCCAGGUGGAUUUCGAGGUGCUGCGGGACCACGCCCGCGCUCUGGGGGUGCUCGUCUUCGAGAACCCCGCGCGGCGCCUGAUGGUGGUGACACCCGCCGGUCACCCCGACGUCAAACGCUUCUGGAAACGCCAGAAACACAACGGCUGACCCCAAAAUCCCCAAAAUCCCUGAAAUUCUGGGGUUUGGGAUCCCAAAAACCCCAAAAUCCCUGAAAUUCUGGGGUUUGGGAUCCCAAAAUCCCUGAAAUUCUGGGGUUUGGGAUCCCAAAAACCCCAAAAUCCCUGAAAUUCUGGGGUUUGGGAUCCCAAAACCACCGAAAUCCAGAGUUUGGGACCCCAAAAUCCCCAAAAUUCUGGAGUUUGGGAUCCCAAAAACCCCAAAUUCCAUUAAUUGGGAUCCCAAAAACCCCAAAAUCUUGCAGUUUGGGGUCCGAAACCCCUGGAAUUCCAGAGUUUGGGAUCCCCAAAACCCCAAAAUCCUGGAAUUUGGGACCUCAAAAACCUCAAAUCCCAGAGUUUGGGAUCCCAAAACCCCAGAAUUCCAGAGCUUGGGACUCCAAAAACCUGAAAUUCUGGAGUUUAGGACCCCCAAAAAAACCAAAGUUAGGGAAUUUGGGAUCGCAAAACCCCCAAAUCCCAGAAUUUGGGAUCCCAAAAACCCCAAAAAUCCUGAAAUUUGGGGUCCCCACAGCCGGAAUUUGGGGAUUUCAGUUUCUCAUUCCCAGAAAAAAAAAACGGAUUUUGGGGGGGAGGGAAAUGUAAUUUUUUUGUAAAAACGAUGUUUUUUGGGAAGUCUUUUUGUAAUAAAAACGUUUUGAGCAAAAAGAAAAAGGGGAAC
This 990-nucleotide long non-coding RNA is filed under the name Cyanistes caeruleus (blue tit). Its description in RNAcentral is "lncRNA (ENSCCEG00000002739.1)". The record is from RNAcentral. Lineage: Eukaryota; Metazoa; Chordata; Aves; Passeriformes; Paridae.